RNAcentral lists this ribosomal RNA (253 nucleotides) under uncultured bacterium. Its description in RNAcentral is "partial 16S ribosomal RNA". It matches the Rfam family "Bacterial small subunit ribosomal RNA", at positions 524 to 776 of the family's 1533-position model. The record is from RNAcentral.
UACAGAGGGUGCAAGCGUUAAUCGGAUUUACUGGGCGUAAAGCGCGCGUAGGUGGCUAAUUAAGUCAAAUGUGAAAUCCCCGAGCUUAACUUGGGAAUUGCAUUCGAUACUGGUUGGCUAGAGUAUGGGAGAGGAUGGUAGAAUUCCAGGUGUAGCGGUGAAAUGCGUAGAGAUCUGGAGGAAUACCGAUGGCGAAGGCAGCCAUCUGGCCUAAUACUGACACUGAGGUGCGAAAGCAUGGGGAGCAAACAGG